This is a long non-coding RNA of Rosa chinensis, 301 nucleotides long. RefSeq lists it as uncharacterized. The record is from RefSeq and is a predicted model, not a curated record. The transcript has 4 exons. NCBI's taxonomy places the organism in Eukaryota, Viridiplantae, Streptophyta, Magnoliopsida, Rosales, Rosaceae.
GAAACUUGAUAAACUGGAGGAAGAGUUUUCAAAAAGAGAGGAGCACUUAGAGCCAAGUAUGAAGAAUUGUAUGAAUCUCUCUACAACAAGCGAUGCAGUAUUGUAAACGGUGAUGCUGGACCUGAAGGAGAUUCUAAUGAAGCUGCCACAAAGCAGGAGCCUGCAACCUGUAAAUGCACUUGUGUAAAAGCUGUUACUGAACCAGAUUUAGUUGCUUUCAUACGCUCUAGAGUGAAUGGAGUGCCUGGAUUCUGGCUCCAUGCUUUAUCAAAAAAUAACUUGCUAACACGAGAGGUGAUUG